CUACGGGGGGCUGCAGUGGGGAAUAUUGGACAAUGGGGGAAACCCUGAUCCAGCAAUGCCGCGUGUGUGAAGAAGGCCUGCGGGUUGUAAAGCACUUUCGGUUGGGAGGGCUGCUUCUAGCACUAAUAUUGUUGGAAGUUGACGUUACCUUCAGAAGAAGCACCGGCUAGCUCCGUGCCAGCAGCCGUGGUAAUACGGAGGGUGCAAGCGUUAAUCGGAAUUACUGGGCGUAAAGCGCGCGUAGGCGGCUAGAUCAGUCGGGUGUGAAAGCCCCGGGCUUAACCUGGGAACUGCAUCCGAUACUGUCUAGCUUGAGUACAGGAGAGGAGAGUGGAAUUCCACAUGUAGCGGUGAAAUGCGUAGAUAUGUGGAGGAACACCAAUGGCGAAGGCAGCUCUCUGGCCUGAUACUGACGCUGAGGUGCGAAAGCGUGGGGAGCAAACAGGAUUAGAUACCCCUGUAGUC
This 465-nucleotide ribosomal RNA is filed under the name uncultured bacterium. Its description in RNAcentral is "partial 16S ribosomal RNA". It matches the Rfam family "Bacterial small subunit ribosomal RNA", at positions 339 to 795 of the family's 1533-position model. The record is from RNAcentral.